CCUACGGGAGGCAGCAGUAAGGAAUAUUGGACAAUGGCCGAAAGGCUGAUCCAGCCAUGCCGCGUGCAGGAUGAAGGUGCUCUGCAUUGUAAACUGCUUUUAUUUGGGAAUAAACCCCUCUACGUGUAGAGGGCUGAAUGUACCAAAAGAAUAAGGGACGGCUAACUUCGUGCCAGCAGCCGCGGUAAUACGAAGGUCCCAAGCGUUAUCCGGAUUUAUUGGGUUUAAAGGGUGCGUAGGCGGGUUGUUAAGUCAGUGGUGAAAGCCUACAGCUUAACUGUAGAAUUGCCAUUGAUACUGACGAUCUUGAGUAUGGUUGAGGUGGGCGGAAUGUAUCAUGUAGCGGUGAAAUGCUUAGAUAUGAUACAGAACACCGAUUGCGAAGGCAGCUCACUAAGCCAUCACUGACGCUGAGGCACGAAAGCGUGGGGAGCAAACAGGAUUAGAUACCCCUGUAGUC
This 460-nucleotide ribosomal RNA is filed under the name uncultured bacterium. RNAcentral describes it as "bacterial SSU rRNA". It matches the Rfam family "Bacterial small subunit ribosomal RNA", at positions 338 to 795 of the family's 1533-position model. The record is from RNAcentral.